UGACGCGCAUGAAUGGAUU
Molecule: small nuclear RNA, 19 nt
Filed under: Arabidopsis thaliana (thale cress)
Lineage: Eukaryota; Viridiplantae; Streptophyta; Magnoliopsida; Brassicales; Brassicaceae
Description: snRNA_11412
Source: RNAcentral